RNAcentral lists this ribosomal RNA (233 nucleotides) under uncultured bacterium. RNAcentral describes it as "partial 16S ribosomal RNA". It matches the Rfam family "Bacterial small subunit ribosomal RNA", at positions 794 to 1028 of the family's 1533-position model. The record is from RNAcentral.
UCCACGCCGUAAACGUUGUGUGCUUGAUUUGGGUAGUUCAACCCUAUCCGAGUCGUAGCUAACGCGUUAAGCACACCGCCUGGGGACUACGGCCGCAAGGCUAAAACUCAAAGGAAUUGACGGGGACCCGCACAAGCGGUGGAGCAUGUGGCUUAAUUCGAGGCAACGCGAAGAACCUUACCUGGGCUUGACAUAUACCUGACAGCCUGUGAAAGCAGGUUUUCCUUUGGACA